AUGAAGCAUACAAGAGAAACCUCAGAGAUAUGCAAGGCCGCAGAGCUAAACAGAAACAUUUUCGAUGGCUCGAAUGCACUAAGUUCUGACCCCGAAACCGUGGAGGGUGACAACAAGCUGAGGGAAGCGAUGAAGAAGAUCAUGAACCGUUGCCGCAAGCUAGCGGGCAUACUUGGGUGCGCUGCCUCGGUUGACGUGCAUGUUCCUCCUCCUAGUGGGUCGACACGUGCCCUAGCUUCAGCAAGCCACACCGGUGGAGGUUCCUCGAGCCAUGCCGCCUCAUCGUCUCGCCUUGUUAACGAGACCGAGGAAGAAGAGGAAGUGGAUGAGGAGGAAGGAGGUGACGACGAAGAAGGUGAUGAGGAGGAGUACGACGACGACGAUGGACCUCAACCAACUCAGCCAACCAAGUCGGACGAGGGCUGCUCAAAGAGAAACGAGGAGCGUGCCGCCAAGAGGGGGAGGGGAGGGUACUAG
RNAcentral lists this ribosomal RNA (477 nucleotides) under Triticum aestivum (bread wheat). RNAcentral describes it as "partial small subunit ribosomal RNA". Lineage: Eukaryota; Viridiplantae; Streptophyta; Magnoliopsida; Poales; Poaceae. The record is from RNAcentral.